GAGAGGACCGGAGUGGACGCAUCACUGGUGUUCGGGUUGUCAUGCCAAUGGCACUGCCCGGUAGCUAAAUGCGGAAGAGAUAAGUGCUGAAAGCAUCUAAGCACGAAACUUGCCCCGAGAUGAGUUCUCCCUGACUCCUUGAGAGUCCUGAAGGAACGUUGAAGACGACGACGUUGAUAGGCCGGGUGUGUAAGCGCAGCGAUGCGUUGAGCUAACCGGUACUAAUGAACCGUGAGGCUUAACCUUACAACGCCGAAG
Molecule: ribosomal RNA, 258 nt
Filed under: Escherichia coli
Lineage: Bacteria; Pseudomonadati; Pseudomonadota; Gammaproteobacteria; Enterobacterales; Enterobacteriaceae
Description: partial 23S ribosomal RNA
Rfam family: Bacterial large subunit ribosomal RNA
Source: RNAcentral